UCUGAAACAAGGCAAACCCGUCGAAAGACGGCGUCGCAAAGUUACCGGCCUACCGCCGCAUCAUAACGGCAACGGCAGCGGGACUACCAGA
RNAcentral lists this non-coding RNA (91 nucleotides) under Candidatus Propionivibrio aalborgensis. Its description in RNAcentral is "c-di-GMP-I riboswitch aptamer". It matches the Rfam family "c-di-GMP-I riboswitch aptamer". From Rfam's summary of the family: GEMM was predicted in a large-scale screen for bacterial structured RNA regulatory elements. Genes associated with GEMM are involved in a diverse array of functions, including chemotaxis regulation, signal transduction, secretion and chitin. Lineage: Bacteria; Pseudomonadati; Pseudomonadota; Betaproteobacteria; Rhodocyclales; Rhodocyclaceae. The record is from Rfam by way of RNAcentral. RNAcentral also lists the same sequence under 1 other name.